This 432-nucleotide ribosomal RNA is filed under the name uncultured bacterium. Its description in RNAcentral is "partial 16S ribosomal RNA". It matches the Rfam family "Bacterial small subunit ribosomal RNA", at positions 29 to 507 of the family's 1533-position model. The record is from RNAcentral.
ACGAACGCUGGCGGCAUUCCUAACACAUGCAAGUCGAACGAGACCUUCGGGUCUAGUGGCGCACGGGUGCGUAACGCGUGGGAACCUGCCCUUAGGUUCGGAAUAACUCCCCGAAAGGGGUGCUAAUACCGGAUAAUGUCUUCGGACCAAAGAUUUAUCGCCUUUGGAUGGGCCCGCGUUGGAUUAGCUAGUUGGUAGGGUAAAAGCCUACCAAGGCGACGAUCCAUAGCUGGUCUGAGAGGAUGAUCAGCCACACUGGGACUGAGACACGGCCCAGACUCCUACGGGAGGCAGCAGUGGGGAAUAUUGGACAAUGGGCGAAAGCCUGAUCCAGCAAUGCCGCGUGAGUGAUGAAGGCCUUAGGGUUGUAAAGCUCUUUUACCCGGGAUGAUAAUGACAGUACCGGGAGAAUAAGCUCCGGCUAACUCCGUG